CCGUAGCCAAGAGAUCGGGAUAACACCUGGAAACAGAUGCUAAUACCGGAUAACAACAGAUGAUGCCUAUCAACUGUUUAAAAGAUGGUUCUGCUAUCACUCUUGGAUGGACCUGCGGUGCAUUAGCUAGUUGGUAGGGUAACGGCCUACCAAGGCGAUGAUGCAUAGCCGAGUUGAGAGACUGAUCGGCCACAUUGGGACUGAGACACGGCCCAAACUCCUACGGGAGGCAGCAGCC
Molecule: ribosomal RNA, 238 nt
Filed under: uncultured Lactobacillus sp.
Lineage: Bacteria; Bacillati; Bacillota; Bacilli; Lactobacillales; Lactobacillaceae
Description: partial 16S ribosomal RNA
Rfam family: Bacterial small subunit ribosomal RNA
Source: RNAcentral